RNAcentral lists this ribosomal RNA (253 nucleotides) under uncultured bacterium. Its description in RNAcentral is "partial 16S ribosomal RNA". It matches the Rfam family "Bacterial small subunit ribosomal RNA", at positions 524 to 776 of the family's 1533-position model. The record is from RNAcentral.
UACAGAGGUCUCAAGCGUUGUUCGGAUUCAUUGGGCGUAAAGGGUGCGUAGGCGGCGCCAUAAGUCAGGUGUGAAAUCUCGGGGCUUAACUCCGAAACUGCAUUUGAUACUGUGGUGCUUGAGGACUGGAGAGGAGACUGGAAUUCACGGUGUAGCAGUGAAAUGCGUAGAUAUCGUGAGGAACACCAGUGGCGAAGGCGGGUCUCUGGACAGUUCCUGACACUGAGGCACGAAGGCCAGGGGAGCAAACGGG